Molecule: ribosomal RNA, 403 nt
Filed under: Fusobacteriota bacterium
Lineage: Bacteria; Fusobacteriati; Fusobacteriota
Description: Fusobacteria bacterium partial 16S ribosomal RNA
Rfam family: Bacterial small subunit ribosomal RNA
Source: RNAcentral
UGGGGAAUAUUGCACAAUGGGGGAAACCCUGAUGCAGCGACGCCGCGUGAGCGAAGAAGGUUUUCGAAUCGUAAAGCUCUGUCCUAUGGGAAGAUAAUGACGGUACCAUAGGAGGAAGCCCCGGCUAACUACGUGCCAGCAGCCGCGGUAAUACGUAGGGGGCAAGCGUUGUCCGGAAUCACUGGGCGUAAAGGGUUCGCAGGCGGAAAUGCAAGUCAGUUGUGAAAGGCAGAGGCUCAACCUCUGUAAGCAAUUGAAACUGUAUUUCUUGAGAUGUGGAGAGGCAAGUGGAAUUCCUAGUGUAGCUGUGAAAUGCGUAGAUAUUAGGAAGAAUACCGGUGGCGAAGGCGACUUGCUGGACACAAACUGACGCUGAGGAACGAAAGCGUGGGUAGCAAACAGG